AAAAAGUGAAAGUCUCUCUUCAUAUCUCCCUCUCCUACUCACCCUUUCAUCUUCCCAUUGUCCACGCUGGCCACCUGACGCAUCGGAAGCGCUGCCGUGUUUUCUUCUUUCCCGUUUCAGUCGAACUGCAAUCAUGGCGGACUACAAGGUAAAGGACAUCAGCCUCGCGGAGUGGGGCCGCAAGGCGAUCGAGCUGGCUGAAAACGAGAUGCCUGGUCUGAUGGAGCUACGCCGCGAGUACGGCCCCUCCCAGCCUUUGAAGGGCGCCAAGAUCGCCGGCUGCCUGCACAUGACUGUGCAGACUGCCGUGCUGAUCGAGACCCUCAAGGCCCUCGGUGCGGAGCUGCGCUGGUCGUCGUGCAACAUCUUUUCCACUCAGGAUAACGCCGCUGCGGCCAUUGCCAAGGCUGGCGUACCGGUGUUCGCGUGGAAGGGUGAGACAGACGAGGAGUAUGAGUGGUGCAUCGCCCAGACAGUGAAGGGCUUCAGCGGUGACGGUCUGCCGAACAUGAUCCUCGACGACGGUGGCGACCUCACGAAUCUGGUGAUCGACCACCACCCCGAGCUCGUGCCCAAGAUCUUCGGUAUCUCCGAGGAGACCACAACGGGUGUGAAGAACCUGUACAAGCGCCUGAGCAAGGGCAACCUCCCCAUCUCCGCUAUCAACGUUAACGACAGCGUGACGAAGAGCAAGUUCGACAACCUUUACGGCUGCCGAGAGUCCUUGGUGGACGGCAUCAAGCGCGCCACGGAUGUAAUGAUUGCCGGCAAGACGUGCUGCGUGUGCGGAUACGGUGAUGUUGGUAAGGGCUGCGCCGCCGCCCUGCGCGCCUUCGGCGCUCGCGUCGUGGUAACGGAGGUGGACCCGAUCAACGCCCUGCAGGCCUCCAUGGAGGGCUACCAGGUCGCUCUGGUCGAGGACGUCAUGGCCGAUGCGCACAUCUUCGUGACGACCACCGGCAACGAUGACAUCAUCACCUCUGAACACUUCCCGCACAUGCGCGACGACGCCAUUGUGUGCAACAUCGGCCACUUCGACACGGAGAUCCAGGUGGGAUGGCUGGAGGCAAACGCCAAAGAGCACGUGGAAAUCAAGCCUCAGGUGGACCGUUAUACCAUGGAGAACGGCCGCCACAUCAUCCUGCUGGCUAAGGGCCGCCUGGUCAACCUCGGCUGCGCCAGCGGCCACCCGUCCUUCGUGAUGUCCAACUCCUUCACGAACCAGGUGCUGGCUCAGAUCGAGCUCUGGAGCAACCGCGACAACGGCAAGUACCCACGCGGUGACAAGGCCGGCGUGUUCUUCCUGCCCAAGGCGCUCGAUGAGAAGGUCGCUGCCCUCCACCUUGCCCACGUCGGCGCCAAGCUGACGAAACUGACUCCGAAACAGGCCGAGUACAUCAACUGCCCGGUCAACGGCCCGUUCAAGCCGGACCACUACCGCUACUAAGCGCGUGCGCUGGUCCACAGGAAAGCCUGGAGAGUGCGAGAGGGGAGUGGGGCUGCUUGAGAGGAAGCAUGAUGAGACGUGACGGCGGGAGCGUUCGAUGAAGGAGCUGAGGGUUGCCGCAUACCCGACAGGCGCGCACACGCUGACGCUGCCAUCCUGAAACGACAGUGCGGUCGACUCCCGCUGCUCCUUCUUUGAUCGUCCGCUUCUUGCCUUGUUUUUCGUUCGAUCGCCCCUCUUCCUCCCUUUUUUCGUCCUUUCUCCACUCAAG
This 1718-nucleotide unclassified non-coding RNA is filed under the name Leishmania donovani. RNAcentral describes it as "gene:LdHU3.36.5490(CDS-product:S-adenosylhomocyst eine_hydrolase)". The record is from RNAcentral. Lineage: Eukaryota; Euglenozoa; Kinetoplastea; Trypanosomatida; Trypanosomatidae.